CAAUAGCGUAUAUUAAAGUUGUUGCAGUUAAAAAGCUCGUAGUUGGAUUUCUGGUAGGAGUGACCGUGCCAGACUUGAUUGUCUGUGUAUUGUGUUGUCUCCAGCCAUCCUUGUGGAGAACUUUUCUUGCAUUAAUUUGUAGGGAUUGGGACCCGCAUCGUUUACUGUGAAAAAAUUAGAGUGUUUAAAGCAGGCAAUCGCUUGAAUACAUUAGCAUGGAAUAAUAAGAUAGGACUUUGGUACUAUUUUGUUGGUUUGCAUACCAAAUUAAUGAUCAACAGGAACAGUUUGAGGAUAUUCGUAUGAACAUGUCAGAGGUGAAAUUCUUGGAUUUUGAUCAGACGAACUACUGCGAAAGCAUUUAUCAAGGAUGUUUNCAUUAA
Molecule: ribosomal RNA, 383 nt
Filed under: uncultured eukaryote
Lineage: Eukaryota
Description: partial 18S ribosomal RNA
Rfam family: Eukaryotic small subunit ribosomal RNA
Source: RNAcentral